Non-coding RNA from Thamnophis sirtalis, 381 nucleotides. Lineage: Eukaryota; Metazoa; Chordata; Lepidosauria; Squamata; Natricidae. The record is from RefSeq and is a predicted model, not a curated record.
UGAUUCCCGUGGUCUCCGUCCAACUGAUCAAAAAGCACAAAACAGCCCGGUUGUUGCCAAAUGGACUCGCGAUCACCACCAACGCCAGCCGAAAAUACAUCUUUGUGUCCCUCAUUUCCAGAGACAGCGUAUACGAUGUCUUGCGACGUGUCUGUACCCACUUACAGGUCUCCAGCAAAAAAAGUCUGAGCUUGAAAGAAUUCACCGAAGAGCCAGUUGCUGUAGCCUUGGAGGUCAUCGUCCCAGAGGUGAAGUGGAGAAGGAGGUCCACGGCGUCCCUUUCGCUCACUCUCCCGGAGGCCAGCUUCCAGUGCAUCCAUCGAACUUCGAUCAGCAAUCUCAGUGCUAAGGAGACGUCUUGCACCUUGGAGGAACCCCUGG